RNAcentral lists this ribosomal RNA (1534 nucleotides) under Salmonella enterica subsp. enterica serovar Indiana. Its description in RNAcentral is "partial 23S ribosomal RNA". It matches the Rfam family "Bacterial large subunit ribosomal RNA", at positions 711 to 2141 of the family's 2925-position model. The record is from RNAcentral. Lineage: Bacteria; Pseudomonadati; Pseudomonadota; Gammaproteobacteria; Enterobacterales; Enterobacteriaceae.
AGACCCGAAACCCGGUGAUCUAGCCAUGGGCAGGUUGAAGGUUGGGUAACACUAACUGGAGGACCGAACCGACUAAUGUUGAAAAAUUAGCGGAUGACCUGUGGCUGGGGGUGAAAGGCCAAUCAAACCGGGAGAUAGCUGGUUCUCCCCGAAAGCUAUUUAGGUAGCGCCUCGUGAAUUCAUCUCCGGGGGUAGAGCACUGUUUCGGCUAGGGGGCCAUCCCGGCUUACCAACCCGAUGCAAACUGCGAAUACCGGAGAAUGUUAUCACGGGAGACACACGGCGGGUGCUAACGUCCGUCGUGAAGAGGGAAACAACCCAGACCGCCAGCUAAGGUCCCAAAGUCAUGGUUAAGUGGGAAACGAUGUGGGAAGGCCCAGACAGCCAGGAUGUUGGCUUAGAAGCAGCCAUCAUUUAAAGAAAGCGUAAUAGCUCACUGGUCGAGUCGGCCUGCGCGGAAGAUGUAACGGGGCUAAACCAUGCACCGAAGCUGCGGCAGCGAACGUAUCACCCAAGACAACUUUGCGGAGUUGACGAUUGACGGAGCGAAGCGACGUCAAAGCGUUCAUUAAAGUCGAGUUGGCUUAGGGAUACGUUCGUUGGGUAGGGGAGCGUUCUGUAAGCCUGUGAAGGUAUGCUGUGAGGCAUGCUGGAGGUAUCAGAAGUGCGAAUGCUGACAUAAGUAACGAUAAAGCGGGUGAAAAGCCCGCUCGCCGGAAGACCAAGGGUUCCUGUCCAACGUUAAUCGGGGCAGGGUGAGUCGACCCCUAAGGCGAGGCCGAAAGGCGUAGUCGAUGGGAAACGGGUUAAUAUUCCCGUACUUGGUGUUACUGCGAAGGGGGGACGGAGAAGGCUAUGUUGGCCGGGCGACGGUUGUCCCGGUUUAAGCGUGUAGGUGUGUGUUCCAGGUAAAUCCGGUUCACUUUAACACUGAGGCGUGACGACGAGGCACUACGGUGCUGAAGCAACAAAUGCCCUGCUUCCAGGAAAAGCCUCUAAGCAUCAGGUAACAUCAAAUCGUACCCCAAACCGACACAGGUGGUCAGGUAGAGAAUACCAAGGCGCUUGAGAGAACUCGGGUGAAGGAACUAGGCAAAAUGGUGCCGUAACUUCGGGAGAAGGCACGCUGACAUGUAGGUGAAGUGAUUUACUCAUGGAGCUGAAGUCAGUCGAAGAUACCAGCUGGCUGCAACUGUUUAUUAAAAACACAGCACUGUGCAAACACGAAAGUGGACGUAUACGGUGUGACGCCUGCCCGGUGCCGGAAGGUUAAUUGAUGGGGUCAGCGCAAGCGAAGCUCCUGAUCGAAGCCCCGGUAAACGGCGGCCGUAACUAUAACGGUCCUAAGGUAGCGAAAUUCCUUGUCGGGUAAGUUCCGACCUGCACGAAUGGCGUAAUGAUGGCCAGGCUGUCUCCACCCGAGACUCAGUGAAAUUGAACUCGCUGUGAAGAUGCAGUGUACCCGCGGCAAGACGGAAAGACCCCGUGAACCUUUACUAUAGCUUGACACUGAACAUUGAGCCUUGAUGUGUAG